CCCCAUCAUCUCUCCCCCCCACCGCCCCGGUCUUAUUCCCUUAUCCUUUGGAAUGGCUCUGCUCCUGGAACCUUAGACUCCAGCGUAAUCAUGCUGGACUGCAGCCUUUUAGCCUUUUGGCUCCCUUACCUAUUUAUUUCUAAGAUCUCUGGUCCCUGUACUAUUCUCCCUUUUUCCCAAGCUCAUCAGUCAUACUUUCCCCCUCGUUCUUCUUCUUCUUCUUCUUUUUUUUUUUUUGCCAGCACAGACCCAUGCUACAUCACUUUAACCACUUGCCAAACCUCAAAGCCCUUCAUCCCCUGCCCGUUUUUUUUUUUUAAUUUUAUCUGAUUUUUUUUUCCAUUAUAGCUGCUUUAUAGUGUUCUGUCAAUUUUCUACUGUACAGCAAGGUGACCCAGUCCCACAUACAUGUAUACAUUCUUUUUUCUCACAUUAUCACGCUCCAUCAUAAAUGACUAGAUAUAGUUCCCAGUGCUAUACAGCAGAAUCUCAUUGCUUAUCCAUUCCAAAGGCAAUAGUUUGCAUCUAUUAACCCCAAAUUCCCAGUCCAUCCCGCUCCCGCCCCCUCGCCCUUGGCAACCACAAGUCUGCUCUCCAAGUCCAUGAUUUUCUUUUCUGUGGAAAGGGUCAUUUGUGCCAUAUAUUAAAUUCCAAAUAUAAGUGAUAUCAUAUGGUAUUUGUCUUUUUCUUUCUGACUUACUUCACUUAGUAUGAGAGCCUCUAGUUCCAUCCAUGUUGCUGCAAAUGGCAUUAUUUUGUUCUUUUUUUAUGGCUGAGUAGUACUCCUUGUGUAUAUACCACAUCUUCUUAAUCCAAUUAUCUGUCGAUGGACAUUUAGGUUGUUUCCAUGUCUUGGCUAUUGUGAACAGUGCUGCCAUGAAUGUGUGGGUGCAUGUGUCUUUUUUAAGGAAAGUUUUGUCCAGAUGUAUACCCAAGAGUGGGACUGCUAGGUCAUAUCCCCUGCUCUUCUCUAUCUGUCCACAAAAAUCCCAGUCUUGGGUUAGUCCAGCCAACUCCCUUGUUUGCUUCUACAUGCAGACUGUUGCCUGCUGUUGGAAAAGCCCAGUCAUGCUAAAGAAUGCCACUAUGAUUUUGUUAUCCUCAACCUCGGGGUCAUUCACCACAUUUCAGUGGGUCAUCAAAGCGUGGUGAGUCACUUAGCUUUAUGGGUCAUCAAGCUACUCAUUGUCCAUAUCUGCAACUCCAGACGCUGCCCACUGUCCUCAACUCCCCUGCCUACCCCUGGUUCCCUUCCGAGGUGAGGAUUCCUGGCCACCCAGUGUGACUCACCUUGGUCUUUUGUUUCAUAUCUGGAAAUCUCCAUCUUUUCACCUCUGGUGUUUCUUGCACGGGUGAAUAUCACGUCCUCCCAUCCUCUCCAGGACUUUGAUCCUUUGUGAUGGCUUUGUGACUCCACAAACUUAGGAAUAAAAUACCACUCCCAUCUUGAAAAAUGCCUCCAGCAACCUUUCACUUCCCUUUAUGUAUUUAUUUUUGUUGGCUGCACCCAUGGCAUGUGGAACUUCCUGGGUCAGAGAUCAGACCUAUGCCACAGCAGGGACUUGAGCCACUGCAGUGACAAUACCAGAUCCCUAACCUGCUGCACCACGUGGGAACUCCUCACUUCCCUUUAGAGGCUGCCUGUCUCCGUCUUUUGUGGGAUGGCAUGAAAAGCCCAGCUGAUGUGACCCUACAUUUCAGUGUCACAAAUCGGCAUGACCAUGAGGUUGGUUUCUCACAAUGGCUCACAGAUUUCUGGAGCAAAGGGGAAGACAGCUGGUAGUUGAUGGGACUCACUCAUACAUCUGGUAGAUGGUUGGCUAUUGGCGGGGGAGAGGGGGUUAACCAAGACCUGUAUCUGGUAUGCAUCAUCCAGCAGGCUAGUCCUGGCUCAUUUACAUAAUAGCAACCACAGGAUUCCCAAGAAAAGCAAGAGAGAGAACUCUGCAAGGUGUCUUGUGGCCUAGGCCUAGAACUUGUAAAACAUCACUUCUGUCUUAUUCUUUUGGUCAAAGCAAGUCAGAAGGCCAGCCUACGUUCAGGGAGUUAUUUCCUUACAGUUUUACAAGUCCAAGAUCAAGCUGCUGGUAGCCGUGGUUCCUUCUGAGGACCUCUAGGGAAGGACCUGUCUCGGGCUUCUGGAUGGAUUUCUUCUUCCUGGGCCUCUUCAUGUUAUCUUUUCUCUGUUUGUAUCUUGUCCAAAUUUCCCUCUUCUUAUAAGGACACCAGUCCUACUGGAUGAGGGCCCACCCUAGAGCAUCAUUUUAAAUUAAUCACAUCCGCAAAGACCCUACCACCAAAUAUGGUCACAUUCCGAGGUCCUAGGAGUUAGGAUUAUGUCAUGAAUUCUUUGGGGGGAGGGACACAAUUCAUCACAUGAUGACCCCCCCCCCCCACCGCCCCUGCCAUCUUCUGCCUCAUUCUAAAACAGCUUUAUGAGAGUGGUAACAUUGAAAUCUCACUCCCUUAGUUAAUGCCAACUGAUAGUAUAUUUUUUGCCUUUAUUAUUUUUAUUUUUAUUGUUUUAUUUUUUUGCUUUUUAGGGUCGCACCCGUGGCAUAUGGAAAUUCCCAGGCUAGGGGUUGAAUCAGAGCUACAGCUGCUGGCCUACACCACAGCCACAGCAACUGGGGAUCCAAGCCGUGUCUGCGACCUACAUCACAGCUCACGGCAAUGCCAGAUCCCUGACCCACUGAGCAAGGCCAGGGAUCAAACCGGCAUCCUCAUGGAUCCUAAUCAGGUUUAUUAAUGGCUGAGCCAUGAAGGGAACUCUCAUUUUUUUAAUGUCUCCCUUACUAGACUGUAAGCUUCAUGAGAGCAGCAUGAUUUGUCUUUGUGUGUCCAGCACUUGAAACAGUAGACACUCCCCAACCAACAGUGGUUAAUUUGAAUGUAUGACUUCCAGCUUAUGAAAAAAGAAACCAUGUAAAAUUAUCCUUUUACUAGAGGCCCGGAGAAAAUGGUCCUCCAGAAAGAGUGAUCUCAAGAUUUGUAAUUUAGAAAAGAGUGAUGAAUGAUGUGGCCUCAGUGCCUUGUGGCUGAUCAUGAACAAGCGAGUGAGGCAAUUCUAGCCUUCACCCAUUCAAGGUCGUAUUAUAACAAGUGCAGAGUGACUGAAGGACACGGUUGAGAGAAUGGAACUCGAUAGACCCACAUGUGCAAUUGGAACACGUUCUGUUAGUGAAAGAAAGAAACUGAGUCUGUAUUGCAAAUGACAGCAACGUUAGAUUUUUCUGAAACAGUCUGUGUUAGGGUCUUCCAGAGAAAGAACAUCCAGACAAACGGGGGUGUGUGUGUGUGUGUGUGUGUGUGUGUGUGUGUGUGUGUGUGUGUGUGUGUGUGUGGAGGGUGGUAUGAGAGAGAGAGAGAGGUAUUUGAAGAACGUGGUUCAUGCAAGUAUAGCAGCCUGGUAAGCCCAGACUUUGCAGAGCAGGUCAGCAGGCUGGGGACCGAGGGUGGAGUCGCCGUUGGAGUCCCAACGUCAUCUGAUGGCAGAAUCCUUGCUCAGGGAGGUCUGUCUUUGUCAAUUAAGGCCUUCAACUGAUUUGACGAG
This 3553-nucleotide long non-coding RNA is filed under the name Sus scrofa (pig). Its description in RNAcentral is "lncRNA (ENSSSCG00000063409.1)". Lineage: Eukaryota; Metazoa; Chordata; Mammalia; Artiodactyla; Suidae. The record is from RNAcentral.